RNAcentral lists this long non-coding RNA (219 nucleotides) under Gossypium barbadense (sea-island cotton). Its description in RNAcentral is "long non-coding RNA (GBAR_LNC001543)". Lineage: Eukaryota; Viridiplantae; Streptophyta; Magnoliopsida; Malvales; Malvaceae. The record is from RNAcentral.
AUUCCCAUCCUUCGAAUUAUUUUCUUGUUAUUCCAAACCGAGCCAUUUAACCAUCAUCCAUCUUUGCUACUAAAUCGAACCUAUUACUAAAUUCACCCUACUUUGAAACCUUCCGCUUACCCGUAUCUUUUCAUUCACUUCUAGUUCUAAAACCCGAAGCACAAAUGACUCUCUCGAACGACGAUCGGGCAACUAAGUGAAUUCGACUCAUCUACCCGG